CAGUCGCCACGGGAAAACGAGGGGAGCUAGCGUUAUUCGGAAUUACUGGGCGUAAAGCGCACGUAGGCGGCUUUGUAAGUUAGAGGUGAAAGCCCAGAGCUCAACUCUGGAAUUGCCUUUAAGACUGCAUCGCUUGAAUCCAGGAGAGGUGAGUGGAAUUCCGAGUGUAGAGGUGAAAUUCGUAGAUAUUCGGAAGAACACCAGUGGCGAAGGCGGCUCACUGGACUGGUAUUGACGCUGAGGUGCGAAAGCGGGGGGAGCAAACAGGAUUAGAUACCCGCGUAGUCCCUGUCUCUUAUAC
Molecule: ribosomal RNA, 301 nt
Filed under: uncultured bacterium
Lineage: Bacteria
Description: partial 16S ribosomal RNA
Rfam family: Bacterial small subunit ribosomal RNA
Source: RNAcentral